RNAcentral lists this ribosomal RNA (428 nucleotides) under uncultured bacterium. RNAcentral's name for it is "bacterial SSU rRNA". It matches the Rfam family "Bacterial small subunit ribosomal RNA", at positions 28 to 450 of the family's 1533-position model. The record is from RNAcentral.
GAUGAACGCUGGCGGCGUGCUUAACACAUGCAAGUCGAACGAUUGAAGCUGGAGCUUGCUCCGGCCGAUUUAGUGGCGGACGGGUGAGUAACGCGUGGGUAACCUGCCUCAUACAGGGGGAUAGCAGUUGGAAACGACUGGUAAAACCGCAUAAGCGCACGGUGUCGCAUGACACAGUGUGAAAACGCUCCGGUGGUAUGAGAUGGACCCGCGUCUGAUUAGCUAGUUGGUGAGGUAACGGCCCACCAAGGCGACGAUCAGUAGCCGGCCUGAGAGGGUGAACGGCCACAUUGGGACUGAGACACGGCCCAAACUCCUACGGGAGGCAGCAGUGGGGAAUAUUGCACAAUGGGGGAAACCCUGAUGCAGCGACGCCGCGUGAGUGAUGAAGUAUUUCGGUAUGUAAAGCUCUAUCAGCAGGGAAGAUA